RNAcentral lists this microRNA precursor (91 nucleotides) under Podarcis lilfordi (Lilford's wall lizard). The record is from RNAcentral. Lineage: Eukaryota; Metazoa; Chordata; Lepidosauria; Squamata; Lacertidae.
CACACCAAGAACUCAGGCCAAUGUAAGUUUCAAUAGUGGGAAUGGACCACUCCCACUAUUGAAACUUACAUUGGCCUGAGUUCUUGGUGUG